UGCCUACGGGGGGCAGCAGUGGGGAAUAUUGCACAAUGGGGGAAACCCUGAUGCAGCAACGCCACGUGAGUGAGGAAGUAUUUCGGUAUGUAAAGCUCUAUCAGCAGGGAAUAGAGAAGAAGGUACCUGACUAAGAAGCCCCGGCUAACUACGUGCCAGCAGCCGCGGUAAUACGUAGGGGGCAAGCGUUAUCCGGAUUUACUGGGUGUAAAGGGAGCGUAGACGGUUAUGCAAGUCUGAAGUGAAAGCCCAGGGCUCAACCAUGGGACUGCUUUGGAAACUGUAAAACUGGA
This 293-nucleotide ribosomal RNA is filed under the name uncultured bacterium. RNAcentral's name for it is "partial 16S ribosomal RNA". It matches the Rfam family "Bacterial small subunit ribosomal RNA", at positions 335 to 645 of the family's 1533-position model. The record is from RNAcentral.